UUGGAGGGCAAGUCUGGUGCAGCAGCCGCGGUAAUUCCAGCUCCAAUAGCGUAUAUUAAAGUUGUUGCAGUUAAAAAGCUCGUAGUUGAAUUUCGGAGUUUGUCGGUCGGUCGGGCUUCACUGUCCGCACUGGCCUGACGGAUUCCUACCUUCUGAAUAACCAGCAUGCUAUUAAGUUAGUGCGUUGGGGAAGCAGAGCUAUUACCUUGAAAAAAUUAGAGUGCUUAAAGCAGGCUUAUGCUUGAAUAGAUUAGUAUGGAAUAAUAAAAUAGGACGGCAUGGUUCUAUUUUGUUGGUUUCUAGGAUCACCGUAAUGAUUAAUAGGGAUAGUUGGGGGCAUUAGUAUUCAAUUGUCAGAGGUGAAAUUCUUGGAUUUAUUGAAGACUAACUUCUGCGAAAGCAUUUGCCAAGGAUGUUUUCAUUAAUCAAGAACGAAAGUUAGGGGAUCGAAGACGAUCAGAUACCGUCGUAGUCUUAACCAUAAACUAUGCCGACUAGGGAUCGGACGAUGUUAAUUUUUUAAUGACUCGUUCGGCGCCUUACGGGAAAC
RNAcentral lists this ribosomal RNA (550 nucleotides) under uncultured Acaulosporaceae. RNAcentral describes it as "SSU rRNA". It matches the Rfam family "Eukaryotic small subunit ribosomal RNA", at positions 548 to 1098 of the family's 1831-position model. Lineage: Eukaryota; Fungi; Glomeromycota; Glomeromycetes; Diversisporales; Acaulosporaceae. The record is from RNAcentral.